Molecule: ribosomal RNA, 210 nt
Filed under: uncultured Leptolyngbya sp.
Lineage: Bacteria; Bacillati; Cyanobacteriota; Cyanophyceae; Leptolyngbyales; Leptolyngbyaceae
Description: partial 16S ribosomal RNA
Rfam family: Bacterial small subunit ribosomal RNA
Source: RNAcentral
CUGGGGAAUUUUCCGCAAUGGGCGAAAGCCUGACGGAGCAAUACCSCGUGAGGGAGGAAGGCCUKUGGGUUGUAAACCUCUUUUCUCAAGGAAGAAACCAAUGACGGUACCUGAGGAAUCAGCAUCGGCUAAYUCCGUGCCAGCAGCCGCGGUAAKACGGAGGAUGCAAGCGUUAUCCGGAAUUAUUGGGCGUAAAGCGUCCGCAGGUGG